This 71-nucleotide transfer RNA is filed under the name Amycolatopsis balhimycina DSM 5908. RNAcentral's name for it is "tRNA-OTHER". Lineage: Bacteria; Bacillati; Actinomycetota; Actinomycetes; Pseudonocardiales; Pseudonocardiaceae. The record is from RNAcentral.
GCUGGUCAGCGGUGAGUCGGGUUCGCACCUUUGCAAGGCGGGGGUCAGGGGUUCGAUUCCCCUCAGCUCCA